CUCUGAUGGAAAGUUCAGUAGUUUAAGUGAUUUGAACCAGUUUUUAGAAUUUUUAGGUACUUAAAAUACAAAGUUCAUCAGUUCAGUAUUCAUGAUGCAAAACGUUGGCCUCAGAGUUUUCUGUAGUAACAUUUAGUAAAAGAAAACAAAAGAAUAUUGUCAACAUAGCUCUAAAGUAAAUAAGAUCAAAAAAGCCAGAGAAGACAGAAACCAUUAAAAUGACAGCUAGUAGAAAUAAGAAGACACCUGG
This is a non-coding RNA of Heterocephalus glaber (naked mole-rat), 250 nucleotides long. NCBI's taxonomy places the organism in Eukaryota, Metazoa, Chordata, Mammalia, Rodentia, Bathyergidae. The record is from RefSeq and is a predicted model, not a curated record.